AUCAAUAAGCGGAGGAAAAGAAACUAACAAGGAUUCCCCCAGUAACGGCGAGUGAAGAGGGAACAGCCCAAAUUUGUAAUCUGGCCCUUUCAGGGUCCGAGUUGUAAUCUCGAGAACUGUUUUCCGUGCUGGACCGCGUACAAGUCUGUUGGAAUAUAGCUUCAUAGAGGGUGAGAAUCCCGUACAUGACGCGGACUACCAGUGCAAUGUGAUACAGUCUCUAAGAGUCGAGUUGUUUGGGAAUGCAGCUCAAAAUGGGUGGUAAAUUCCAUCUAAGGCUAAAUAUUGGCGAGAGACCGAUAGCGAACAAGUACCGUGAGGGAAAGAUGAAAAGCACUUUGGAAAGAGAGUUAACAGUACGUGAAAUUGUUGAAAGGGAAACGCUUGAAGUCAGUCUUG
RNAcentral lists this ribosomal RNA (399 nucleotides) under Septobasidium meredithiae. RNAcentral's name for it is "eukaryotic LSU rRNA". It matches the Rfam family "Eukaryotic large subunit ribosomal RNA", at positions 42 to 437 of the family's 3401-position model. The record is from RNAcentral. Lineage: Eukaryota; Fungi; Basidiomycota; Pucciniomycetes; Septobasidiales; Septobasidiaceae.